Molecule: long non-coding RNA, 1255 nt
Organism: Drosophila miranda
Lineage: Eukaryota; Metazoa; Arthropoda; Insecta; Diptera; Drosophilidae
Exons: 2
Source: RefSeq, a predicted model, not a curated record
GAGCCCAGAGCAGACAGAACCCAAGAGCAGAACAGUCAGAACAAACCAAGCGAACAGCCGCAAAAAGUCACAGCUAAUAACCUAACCCAAUGCCUUCGGUUCGCAUUUAUCUUUAUGAGGAAUGGGGUUAUUGGAAACGCAGCAGAUAACAGACAAAGUAUGGGGAGCAGUGCGGAGUACGUUUACGAGUCAUUUGCAAUAUCUCUCCCAAGCUGAUACGCUCGCUUAAAUUAGUUGUUUAUGUAACACAUAUAUUUCUGUUAUUAUUAAAACGAGAUUUCCAACUGCAUUUGCACACAAUUAAGCGCAGUAAUUUAUGAUAAAUUGCAAUUUAAUCAGAAGAAUAAAAUAUAAUCGACGGCACAAGACAAAAGCCCACAUUGAAAGCCACAGUCACAGCCACAGCUACAGUCAAAGCCAAACCCAAAAAUCGAUUUCAGGUUCAACAAACAGUGGAACUAAUUUGCAGAAACCAAAAGAAGGAAUUAUUAUCGGGAUUUUGCCAAUGAUACUUGCGGCUUAUACCCGUAUUGAUCCCCCCAAAGCCGUCAACCGGCUGUCGAGUGUGUGUCGCGGCAUGAAGCGUAUCGGAUAUGAUUGAACGUAUAAUUAAUGGUCGAGGGAUUAGCGACAAGUACAAGCCACACAUAUAUUGGAUGCUGUACUGCCGCUGGCAACAAAUUAAUCAACACAUGCGAUACGAUACGAGUACGAGGCGGGUGUGUGGGUGUCUAGACCAAAUGGAGAGACACGUAGAGAUGUGGAGUGGUAGCACAAAGCAACUGGAGCUGGUUCUGAAAGGAGUUUGGCCCCAGAGCAAACAUAAGUCAAUCCAUCAAGGCCACCAUAAGUUGGGGGGCAACUUAUCAGAUUCGAUAUCCUUACCAGCGCAUGAUGUAAGCCUUUUUCCGUCUGUCUCGUUUUGAGUUGAAUAAAUCCGAGAACAACAAGACGUUUCACUUAAUAAUUUCAUAACCUGUUCAGCAUUAAGGUUCAUUUCAUUGUGGUAAUCAUAUGCAAAACAUCGGGCAAAUGAACUUCCCACCUGAUUCUAAAAAUAAUCUCCUGCAUAUUUCCGAUGACACUUCGACUAUAAUUAGAGCUUCAUUCAAAAAAAACACAUUUUUAAUAUUCAUAUAAGCAUAACAAUGACAAAUUAAAGGAAAAUGAAUUCCCCGAAACAGGAAAAACAUAUACAAAUACACAGUUAACGACGAUUGAAACCAGGAAAGACAAGAUAGACGACAAAAAAAAA